Molecule: long non-coding RNA, 792 nt
Organism: Hippocampus zosterae (dwarf seahorse)
Lineage: Eukaryota; Metazoa; Chordata; Actinopteri; Syngnathiformes; Syngnathidae
Exons: 4
Source: RefSeq, a predicted model, not a curated record
UUCUUGAAAAUACACCAUGAAAGUGAAUUUUCAAUCAGCUUCCUCAAUUUUAAAUCACGCUCCGGCCCGCCCAUCGAGCUGAACCAUUGAGAAGAUGGAUAAGCUCCCUCGUCAUGGGGCCUGCGGGUGGCUUUCCGGGAGGCGAAUCUCAAAUCUGAUUGGCUAAAAAAAGAAACAGCCAUUUUAGUGUGUGCGUGCGUGUAUUUGGGACCAUCUCAGCGGUUGUUUCCGAGUUUUACCAUUCAAUGUGUUUUGAUGAGGAGCAAAAUUAUAAAUUUUUAAACAAAGAGCGAUAGAAGGCUGUUUAUUUCGAGCCUUGCAUUACUUUUAUUCUAUAAAUGUUUUCUUUGACAGGAGGCUUCUGUUCAACUGGUCUCAUGCUUUGAUCGCAAUGGUAUUAAAAAUUCUGGCGAUUGCAGCGAUAUUCACUGGCCUAAAGAUAAAUGACAACACUAUUGAUUAAUGGCUGAUGAAAGUGAUGCGUUGGCUGGUCACCUGGGAGGCUUUGUUCUGUAUCUUGUUGGAAAUCAACUUCAAACGGAAGGUUGAUGUAUCAGAUACUACAAUGAUAAAAGCUGGUGUCCUGCUGGUGGCCUUGUACAUCACUGGAAAUGUAGUAUUUUUGCUUGCCUUGUUGUUUGGAGUUGGGAUGUCAUAAUUUGAACGAAUACACAUAAAGAAAUUGUAACUAGGAGUGGGUGUGUUAUGAUCAUGUUCUGUUAGUGUCCGGCAGUUGGCAGAGGCGUUCCCGGUUUUCCUGCUACUCACCUGUCUGGCAUCAUAAUUAUUGGG